GAGUUUGAUCUUGGCUCAGGAUAAACGUUGGCGGCGUGCCUAAUGCAUGCAAGUCGCACGGAGCUUCGGCUCAGUGGCGGACGGGUGAGUAACACGUAGGAACCUGCCCGGAAGUGGGGGAUAACUCCUCGAAAGAGGAGCUAAUACCGCAUACGGUCUACGGACCAAAGCAGCAAUGCGCUUCUGGAGGGGCCUGCGGUGGAUUAGCUAGUUGGUGGGGUAAUGGCCUACCAAGGCGACGAUCCAUAGCUGGUCUGAGAGGACGGCCAGCCACACUGGGACUGAGACACGGCCCAGACUCCUACGGGAGGCAGCAGUGGGGAAUUUUGCGCAAUGGGGGAAACCCUGACGCAGCAACGCCGCGUGGGUGAUGAAGGCCUUCGGUC
RNAcentral lists this ribosomal RNA (386 nucleotides) under uncultured delta proteobacterium. Its description in RNAcentral is "bacterial SSU rRNA". It matches the Rfam family "Bacterial small subunit ribosomal RNA", at positions 9 to 423 of the family's 1533-position model. Lineage: Bacteria; Deltaproteobacteria. The record is from RNAcentral.